GCCUAAAACUCAUGUUUGAAGCACACAUAUAGUGGAAUACCAAGGUGCCGAGAUAAGGAUCUUUUCUGAAUGUCACAAUUUUGGUGGCAUAACCUGCAACAGCAUGUUUGUUGUUACAGCUGUUUCUACUUCUAUUUAGAAGACAACCCAGCUGAGGGAUAGUUAGAGUUUUAUUUCUCAUAGAGUUUCAGAGACAUGAAGAGUGUGAAGUGACGUGCCGUGUAUGUACCAGAUCUGCUUGAUGAAAGUCAAGUGCCCUACUAAAUUCAUCACUCAUAUGAUAAAGCAUCAGGAAAUUUAUCUCAUCAUGUGGAGUAAUGCUGUUGGUUGCUGUGAAUUCC
Molecule: long non-coding RNA, 341 nt
Organism: Daphnia pulex (common water flea)
Lineage: Eukaryota; Metazoa; Arthropoda; Branchiopoda; Diplostraca; Daphniidae
Exons: 4
Source: RefSeq, a predicted model, not a curated record